Molecule: ribosomal RNA, 458 nt
Filed under: uncultured bacterium
Lineage: Bacteria
Description: partial 16S ribosomal RNA
Rfam family: Bacterial small subunit ribosomal RNA
Source: RNAcentral
CCUACGGGUGGCAGCAGUGGGGAAUAUUGCACAAUGGGGGAAACCCUGAUGCAGCGACGCCGCGUGAGUGAAGAAGUACUUCGUUACGUAAAGCUCUAUUAGCAGGGAAGAAAUACUGACCUCACGGUCAGCAGACGGUACCUGAGUAAGAAGCCCCGCCUAACUACGUGCCAGCAGCCGCGGUAAUAUGGAGGGGGCAAGCGCUAUCCGGGUUUAUUUGGGGUAAAGGGGGCGUAGACGGUGCGCGAAGUGUAGAGUGAAAUGCCGCGGCCGAACUGCCGAACUGCCUUUGAAACUGGCGAACUAGAGUGCGGGAGGGGGAAGCGGAAUUCCCGGUGUAGCGGUGAAAUGCGUAGAUAUUAGGAAGAACACCGAUGGCGAAGGCAGCUUACUGGACCGUGACUGACGUUGAGGCUCGAAAGCGUGGGGAGCAAACAGGAUUAGAUACCCCUGUAGUC